Molecule: ribosomal RNA, 523 nt
Filed under: uncultured bacterium
Lineage: Bacteria
Description: bacterial SSU rRNA
Rfam family: Bacterial small subunit ribosomal RNA
Source: RNAcentral
AGAGUUUGAUCAUGGCUCAGAUUGAACGCUGGCGGAAUGCUUUACACAUGCAAGUCGAACGGCAGCACGGGGGCAACCCUGGUGGCGAGUGGCGAACGGGUGAGUAAUACAUCGGAACGUGCCCAGUCGUGGGGGAUAACGUAGCGAAAGCUACGCUAAUACCGCAUACGAACUCUGGUUGAAAGCGGGGGAUCGCAAGACCUCGCGCGAUUGGAGCGGCCGAUGGCAGAUUAGGUAGUUGGUGGGGUAAAGGCCUACCAAGCCGACGAUCUGUAGCUGGUCUGAGAGGACGACCAGCCACACUGGGACUGAGACACGGCCCAGACUCCUACGGGAGGCAGCAGUGGGGAAUUUUGGACAAUGGGCGCAAGCCUGAUCCAGCCAUUCCGCGUGCAGGAUGAAGGCCCUCGGGUUGUAAACUGCUUUUGUACGGAACGAAAAGGCUCUGGUUAAUACCUGGGGCUCAUGACGGUACCGUAAGAAUAAGCACCGGCUAACUACGUGCCAGCCGCCGCGGUAAUUC